CCUACGGUGUGCAGCAGUGGGGAAUAUUGCACAAUGGGGGAAACCCUGAUGCAGCGACGCCGCGUGAGUGAAGAAGUAUCUCGGUAUGUAAAGCUCUAUCAGCAGGGAAGAAAAUGACGGUACCUGACUAAGAAGCCCCGGCUAACUACGUGCCAGCAGCCGCGGUAAUACGUAGGGGGCAAGCGUUAUCCGGAUUUACUGGGUGUAAAGGGAGCGUAGACGGCGGGGCAAGUCUGGAGUGAAAGGCCGGGGCCCAACCCCGGGACCGCUCUGGAAACUGCCCGGCUGGAGUGCGGGAGAGGUAAGCGGAAUUCCUAGUGUAGCGGUGAAAUGCGUAGAUAUUAGGAGGAACACCAGCGGCGAAGGCGGCUUACUGGACCGUGACUGACGUUGAGGCUCGAAAGCGUGGGGAGCAAACAGGAUUAGAUACCCUAGUAGUC
This 440-nucleotide ribosomal RNA is filed under the name uncultured bacterium. Its description in RNAcentral is "partial 16S ribosomal RNA". It matches the Rfam family "Bacterial small subunit ribosomal RNA", at positions 338 to 795 of the family's 1533-position model. The record is from RNAcentral.